GCUCCGGUGGUCUAGUGGUAGAGUAUCCGCCUCAAAUGCGUGAGGUCGCGGAUUUGAACCCCGGCCGAGUCU
Molecule: non-coding RNA, 72 nt
Organism: Potamilus streckersoni
Lineage: Eukaryota; Metazoa; Mollusca; Bivalvia; Unionida; Unionidae
Source: the annotation of a GenBank genome assembly